UACAGAGGGGGCAAGCGUUAUUCGGAAUUAUUGGGCGUAUAGGGCGCGUAGGCGGCCUGGCAAGUGGAAGGUGAAAUCCCUCGGCUUAACCGAGGAACUGCCCUCCAAACUGCUUGGCUUGAGUCCGGGAGAGGUGAGUGGAAUUCCCAGUGUAGCGGUGAAAUGCGUAGAUAUUGGGAGGAACACCAGUGGCGAAGGCGGCUCACUGGACCGGAACUGACGCUGAGGCGCGAAAGCGUGGGGAGCAAACGGG
RNAcentral lists this ribosomal RNA (253 nucleotides) under uncultured bacterium. RNAcentral describes it as "partial 16S ribosomal RNA". It matches the Rfam family "Bacterial small subunit ribosomal RNA", at positions 524 to 776 of the family's 1533-position model. The record is from RNAcentral.